GAUGAACGCUAGCGGCAGGCUUAACACAUGCAAGUCGAGGGGUAUAGUUCUUCGGAACUAGAGACCGGCGCACGGGUGCGUAACGCGUAUGCAAUCUACCUUUUGCAGAGGGAUAGCCCCAGAGAAAUUUGGAUUAAUACCUCAUAGUAUAGCAGUUUCGCAUGAAACCACUAUUAAAGUCACAACGGCAAAAGAUGAGCAUGCGUCCCAUUAGCUAGUUGGUAAGGUAACGGCUUACCAAGGCUACGAUGGGUAGGGGUCCUGAGAGGGAGAUCCCCCACACUGGUACUGAGACACGGACCAGACUCCUACGGGAGGCAGCAGUGAGGAAUAUUGGACAAUGGGCGCAAGCCUGAUCCAGCCAUGCCGCGUGCAGGAUGACGGUCCUAUGGAUUGUAAACUGCUUUUGUACAGGAAGAAACCCUUUCACGUGUGGAAGAUUGACGGUACUGUAAGAAUAAGGAUCGGCUAACUCCGUGCCAGCAG
Molecule: ribosomal RNA, 486 nt
Filed under: uncultured bacterium
Lineage: Bacteria
Description: bacterial SSU rRNA
Rfam family: Bacterial small subunit ribosomal RNA
Source: RNAcentral